AAAACUCUAAGCGGUGGAUCACUCGGCUCAUGGGUCGAUGAAGAACGCAGCAAACUGUGCGUCAUCGUGUGAACUGCAGGACACAUGAACAUCGACAUUUUGAACGCAUAUCGCAGUCCAUGCUGUUAUGUACUUUAAUUAAUUUUAUAGUGCUGCUUGGACUACAUAUGGUUGAGGGUUGUAAGACUAUGCUAAUUAAGUUGCUUAUAAAUUUUUAUAAGCAUAUGGUAUAUUAUUGGAUAAAUAUAAUAAUUUUUAUUCAUAAUAUUAAAAAAUAAAUGAAAAACAUUAUCUCACAUUUGAAUGUGAAAAACGAAGAGAAAUAUUUUCUUUUUCAAUCAAAUAAUACUGAGAAAUGUCUAGCAUAAAAAAUUGAAAUAUUUUUCAUCUAGAAUUGUCUCUUAUUAAUGAUUCGGAAAUAGAAAAAUCUUGGUUAUGUUAUUAUUCUUCGUUGGUUCGUUAAAAAUGGAUAAAUAAAAACUUUGCAUACAAGAAUUAAUAAAAAUGUUAUAACGAAUUUAAUUAAAUGUUUUAUCAUUAUAUAUAAAGAAUUUAUGGCAAGAUAAAGUUAUAUACAACCUCAACUCAUAUGGGACUACCCCCUGAAUUUAAGCAUAUUAAUUAGGGGAGGAAAAGAAACUAACAAGGAUUUUCUUAGUAGCGGCGAGCGAAAAGAAAACAGUUCAGCACUAAGUCACUUUGUCUAUAUGGCAAAUGUGAGAUGCAGUGUAUGGAGCGUCAAUAUUCUAGUAUGAGAAAUUAACGAUUUAAGUCCUUCUUAAAUGAGGCCAUUUACCCAUAGAGGGUGCCAGGCCCGUAUAACGUUAAUGAUUACUAGAUGAUGUUUCCAAAGAGUCGUGUUGCUUGAUAGUGCAGCACUAAGUGGGUGGUAAACUCCAUCUAAAACUAAAUAUAACCAUGAGACCGAUAGUAAACAAGUACCGUGAGGGAAAGUUGAAAAGAACUCUGAAUAGAGAGUUAAACAGUACGUGAAACUGCUUAGAGGUUAAGCCCGAUGAACCUGAAUAUCCGUUAUGGAAAAUUCAUCAUUAAAAUUGUAAUAUUUAAAUAAUAUUAUGAGAAUAGUGUGCAUUUUUUCCAUAUAAGGACAUUGUAAUCUAUUAGCAUAUACCAAAUUUAUCAUAAAAUAUAACUUAUAGUUUAUUCCAAUUAAAUUGCUUGCAUUUUAACACAGAAUAAAUGUUAUUAAUUUGAUAAAGUGCUGAUAGAUUUAUAUGAUUACAGUGCGUUAAUUUUUCGGAAUUAUAUAAUGGCAUAAUUAUCAUUGAUUUUUGUGUUUAUUAUAUGCACUUGUAUGAUUAACAAUGCGAAAGAUUCAGGAUACCUUCGGGACCCGUCUUGAAACACGGACCAAGGAGUCUAACAUAUGUGCAAGUUAUUGGGAUAUAAACCUAAUAGCGUAAUUAACUUGACUAAUAAUGGGAUUAGUUUUUUAGCUAUUUAUAGCUAAUUAACACAAUCCCGGGGCGUUCUAUAUAGUUAUGUAUAAUGUAUAUUUAUAUUAUUUAUGCCUCUAACUGGAACGUACCUUGAGCAUAUAUGCUGUGACCCGAAAGAUGGUGAACUAUACUUGAUCAGGUUGAAGUCAGGGGAAACCCUGAUGGAAGACCGAAACAGUUCUGACGUGCAAAUCGAUUGUCAGAAUUGAGUAUAGGGGCGAAAGACCAAUCGAACCAUCUAGUAGCUGGUUCCUUCCGAAGUUUCCCUCAGGAUAGCUGGUGCAUUUUAAUAUUAUAUAAAAUAAUCUUAUCUGGUAAAGCGAAUGAUUAGAGGCCUUAGGGUCGAAACGAUCUUAACCUAUUCUCAAACUUUAAAUGGGUAAGAACCUUAACUUUCUUGAUAUGAAGUUCAAGGUUAUGAUAUAAUGUGCCCAGUGGGCCACUUUUGGUAAGCAGAACUGGCGCUGUGGGAUGAACCAAACGUAAUGUUACGGUGCCCAAAUUAACAACUCAUGCAGAUACCAUGAAAGGCGUUGGUUGCUUAAAACAGCAGGACGGUGAUCAUGGAAGUCGAAAUCCGCUAAGGAGUGUGUAACAACUCACCUGCCGAAGCAACUAGCCCUUAAAAUGGAUGGCGCUUAAGUUGUAUACCUAUACAUUACCGCUAAAGUAGAUGAUUUAUAUUACUUGUGAUAUAAAUUUUGAAACUUUAGUGAGUAGGAAGGUACAAUGGUAUGCGUAGAAGUGUUUGGCGUAAGCCUGCAUGGAGCUGCCAUUGGUACAGAUCUUGGUGGUAGUAGCAAAUAAUCGAAUGAGACCUUGGAGGACUGAAGUGGAGAAGGGUUUCGUGUGAACAGUGGUUGAUCACGAGUUAGUCGGUCCUAAGUUCAAGGCGAAAGCCGAAAAUUUUCAAGUAAAACAAAAAUGCCUAACUAUAUAAACAAAGCGAAUUAUAAUACACUUGAAUAAUUUUGAACGAAAGGGAAUACGGUUCCAAUUCCGUAACCUGUUGAGUAUCCGUUUGUUAUUAAAUAUGGGCCUCGUGCUCAUCCUGGCAACAGGAACGACCAUAAAGAAGCCGUCGAGAGAUAUCGGAAGAGUUUUCUUUUCUGUUUUAUAGCCGUACUACCAUGGAAGUCUUUCGCAGAGAGAUAUGGUAGAUGGGCUAGAAGAGCAUGACAUAUACUGUUGUGUCGAUAUUUUCUCCUCGGACCUUGAAAAUUUAUGGUGGGGACACGCAAACUUCUCAACAGGCCGUACCAAUAUCCGCAGCUGGUCUCCAAGGUGAAGAGUCUCUAGUCGAUAGAAUAAUGUAGGUAAGGGAAGUCGGCAAAUUAGAUCCGUAACUUCGGGAUAAGGAUUGGCUCUGAAGAUUGAGAUAGUCGGGCUUGAUUGGGAAACAAUAACAUGGUUUAUGUGCUCGUUCUGGGUAAAUAGAGUUUCUAGCAUUUAUGUUAGUUACUUGUUCCCCGGAUAGUUUAGUUACGUAGCCAAUUGUGGAACUUUCUUGCUAAAAUUUUUAAGAAUACUAUUUGGGUUAAACCAAUUAGUUCUUAUUAAUUAUAACGAUUAUCAAUUAACAAUCAAUUCAGAACUGGCACGGACUUGGGGAAUCCGACUGUCUAAUUAAAACAAAGCAUUGUGAUGGCCCUAGCGGGUGUUGACACAAUGUGAUUUCUGCCCAGUGCUCUGAAUGUCAAAGUGAAGAAAUUCAAGUAAGCGCGGAAAUCACGGUGAGUCAACCACUACUGCUAGGGCCAUCACAAUGCUUUGUUUUAAUUAGACAGUCGGAUUCCCCAAGUCCGUGCCAGUUCUGAAUUGAUUGUUAAUUGAUAAUCGUUAUAAUUAAUAAGAACUAAUUGGUUUAACCCAAAUAGUAUUCUUAAAAAUUUUAGCAAGAAAGUUCCACAAUUGGCUACGUAACUAAACUAUCCGGGGAACAAGUAACUAACAUAAAUGCUAGAAACUCUAUUUACCCAGAACGAGCACAUAAACCAUGUUAUUGUUUCCCAAUCAAGCCCGACUAUCUCAAUCUUCAGAGCCAAUCCUUAUCCCGAAGUUACGGAUCUAAUUUGCCGACUUCCCUUACCUACAUUAUUCUAUCGACUAGAGACUCUUCACCUUGGAGACCAGCUGCGGAUAUUGGUACGGCCUGUUGAGAAGUUUGCGUGUCCCCACCAUAAAUUUUCAAGGUCCGAGGAGAAAAUAUCGACACAACAGUAUAUGUCAUGCUCUUCUAGCCCAUCUACCAUAUCUCUCUGCGAAAGACUUCCAUGGUAGUACGGCUAUAAAACAGAAAAGAAAACUCUUCCGAUAUCUCUCGACGGCUUCUUUAUGGUCGUUCCUGUUGCCAGGAUGAGCACGAGGCCCAUAUUUAAUAACAAACGGAUACUCAACAGGUUACGGAAUUGGAACCGUAUUCCCUUUCGUUCAAAAUUAUUCAAGUGUAUUAUAA
Molecule: ribosomal RNA, 3915 nt
Filed under: Drosophila melanogaster (fruit fly)
Lineage: Eukaryota; Metazoa; Arthropoda; Insecta; Diptera; Drosophilidae
Description: eukaryotic LSU rRNA
Rfam family: Eukaryotic large subunit ribosomal RNA (bases 576-3286)
Source: RNAcentral